AAAUUUAUUCCUCUCCCUCCAAUCAACAUUAGCAACACAUCCAUGAUGAAAACGAUACUCUUUUUUCUUGUCCUUCACGACAUGCAUAAUAUCCCUUCUAAAAAACAACUCCUACACACAAAAAUAGAACAACAAAUCUCUGAAAAGUUAGGUCGAUCCACUGCAACACCACAACCAUUAUAGCAACCACUUCAUAUCAACAACACUUUUUCUUUCCACCAUAAAAAACUAUCAUAACAUAACCAACCCAUCUUUUUCCUCUCUCUGAGCUCACUCAUCAACCAUCCAGUAGCUUCCGCUCUCGGUCUCUUUGCCGGCGAGGAAGUAGUUGGACCAUUUAAUAAAGCACUUCGACAGCACGCAUUCACGCCGCCACAAAAUCGUUAGAUCUUGCCGGAAAUAGAGCAUGGUAUCAAUUUUUUUUUUCCUUUAAACUUUCCAUGUUUUGAUAUUUGCUACAUCUUGGUUUAAAUGAAAGAAGAAUGUGAUUUGAAUCUGUAUUUUUUGUUUUUGUUCAUAACAUGAGUUUAGUUUCCCAUAUGAUUUUGUUUGUUUUGGUUUUAAAAAAUAAAAUAAUAAAAGAUGAAAAAGCAUAGUUUUUUGCGCAUCUUUUAAAUCAUGAGUGAGAGAGUUUUGUGUUUGCUAGGAGUGUUUACUGGUUUAUGUUACUUUCUCUUUUGUUUUUUUUUAAGUUUUAAAUGCUAUGACACUUGUCAUUUUUUUUUAUUAUUGGUGGUUUCUUUUAAAAUUUGGCAAAUAUUUUCCAAAGCAAACUGUGGGAAACGCAAGCUCCCCUUGGAGCUGCUUGUUUAUAUUUUAUUUAUUCAAUUACUUUUUAUUUUCUUUAAUUUAAAACUAAUUGUUAUUAGGCUUAAUAUUGAUUUUAGAUUGGGCACAAAUUAAUUUAGUUUUUGCACCUCUACUCCUUCCUUUAUACACCACUUUUUUUUUUUUUUUUUUUUUUUAAAGUUUUGUUUUGGUUUCUAUUUUUGUUUUCUUUAUUAGUUUAUUUAGAUAAAUAAUUAAUCAUUUGUUUAUUAGUUUCAAUUAUUUAUUUUCUUUUUAAUUACUAAAUGGAUUAUUUGAUAAUUUAUUCCGUCGAUUUCAAUAUGUUUAGUCCAUUAGUUAGAUGAUUUUUGCUAAAAUAAAAAAUAUAUAAGCUGCUAUUGUGUUUUUAUUUUAUUUUAAUGAUUCCAACAUCAGUCUUUUAUAUAUAUAUAUAUAUAUUGGUGGUUGUGUUGGUUUGACAACUAACUAACCAUGUCUGAGUGGUAGAGACUCUUAGCAGUUCCUAUAUGCCCAUGGGUUUGAUACAUGUAUACAAUAUUUUUGGGUUUAUUGUAUAUUUAAUUUUUACGCUUUUUUUCGUUUGCCUCUUAUAUAAAUGGGUUUAUUGGUUACUGAACUAUUCAUCCAUGACCCAGCGGUAGAGGUAUUUGGUGCUUCCUCUUGGGUCUUCUUACAAUGAGACGGUUCUCUUACACCUACACUCAUAUAUUGCAUUGCUUGUUGGUUGGGCUAGAUUUAAUUAUUUCAUUAUUUUGAAUCCCAUUCGACAAAAUGUACCCUCACCCCCAUAAUAUGUAAUAAUUUUACUGUUUUAUUUCUUUAUUUGCUUGACUGUUUAGCUAGUUACUAAGACAAGAAUAAAAUCAAUUUCUUUUAAAAAAAGAUCAAAAAUAAGGGCUCGAUCCAACGUCGAGUAUUUUCUCAAUAAACAAAUUCAUCCAUUUCUAUCCAUC
Molecule: long non-coding RNA, 1742 nt
Filed under: Lathyrus oleraceus (garden pea)
Lineage: Eukaryota; Viridiplantae; Streptophyta; Magnoliopsida; Fabales; Fabaceae
Description: Pisum sativum (pea) long non-coding RNA (PSAT_LNC022112)
Source: RNAcentral